Molecule: long non-coding RNA, 170 nt
Filed under: Numida meleagris (helmeted guineafowl)
Lineage: Eukaryota; Metazoa; Chordata; Aves; Galliformes; Numididae
Description: lncRNA (ENSNMEG00000019090.1)
Source: RNAcentral
AAGAGAUUACUUGCAAGCUCUGCGGCCAGACUUGGGGUGUAGGAAGUGUUUGUUUUUGUUUCUGUCACCAGGCAGCAGGGAACUCGUCGCCUUUGUUCUGGAGGUCAUGCUGCUAGAGAUGGCAAAUAUUGACAUACAUGGAGGUGACUGAAGCAUCUGAACAAGGAACA